RNAcentral lists this long non-coding RNA (4602 nucleotides) under Olea europaea (common olive). Its description in RNAcentral is "long non-coding RNA (OEUR_LNC004895)". The record is from RNAcentral. Lineage: Eukaryota; Viridiplantae; Streptophyta; Magnoliopsida; Lamiales; Oleaceae.
UCAGUGACCCUGAGGGGACUCGAACUGGUGACCAUUGGAGAGCAAAUCCAAGAUCUAAUCAUUGAGUUACCCCUCAAGGUUGACUUGUACAGUUAAAACAGCGAAAUAAGUAACCUGGAGGAAAACCCCAAAAUUUGGCAUGGAAGUUACGAAGUGAUGUAAAUUCCUUCUAUUUAGGUACGAAGUUCCAACAAGUUCAAAAGUAGAAAAAAUAGCCGCAUGCAACGCAUUCAGCACAGUUAUAUAACAAUUGGCAAAGGAAGUUUCAUAGAAACAAAUAAAAAAGCCCAGAAAAUGAUUUUUGAAAGCACAUUAACAACCUAAAAGGUAGAUAAAAGUAAGAAAGAAAAAGAAAAUUAUGGAUAAGUUACAAAAAAAACUCCAAGUAAUUGCACUUUAAAAAACACUGAUAAAAUUCAGCACAAAAGCAAUUAUUUUGAUGCUUAUAUGUCAACUCUUCAUAAAGCUUACUUGCAAAUAAGUUGAUUGUUUUUAGCUGAAUUACAGUUAAUGAAGUUGAUAUUCUAUUGUAUAAUCCAAAACAAAUAUGCGAUGAAUUUAUGAGAACUCAGCCUCAUUUUCCCAAGUAACUUACUUCCAACGUUGUCACUGAUGUAAUUGCAUCAUCAGCCCCUGGCCAGCCUAGUAGGCUUGACUCCUGAUAAAACUUAUGGACAACUUCAGGGCAGUUAAGAAAAAAAUGAUAAUACUGCUUCACAAAGGCGUUUGCCACGGACUGCACGUUAAUGUUUUCUACUGACAUCUUGAUCCUGAUCUCUGCAUUUAAUAACAGACAAAUUGUUGUCAGAACAAUUUUUUGAAAUUUUUAAUAGCUUCUCUAAAUGAUGAAAAAGUUGUUUCCUUGGGUAAGUAUGUGUAUUUAAAUGCACAAAAUAACACAAUUCAGUCUGUAACUGAUCACAGUUGCUACCACAUCUAUAAUUGAACACAAUUUAAGAACUAAGCAUUCAUAAGAUUGAUAGAUACAAUAAUAUAAGUACAGAACAUUGAUGAAGAAGGCUGAAAUAAGUACCCUUUACCUUUUGCAGUUUUCGUGAAUAGAAAGAAAAGUUUAUAGAAAGGUUCAAGAAUCUAGUAAAUGCAGAAAGUAUUGACACAAUGUUGAGCAGUUGGGAACAAAAAUACAUCAAAAUAAAGAAGGAUUUUAUAAACCUCUCUUUGAGAUGCUAAGAAUCGUCUUGGAUUUCUAUGGGAUAACUUUAAUAUUACGAAUCAACAAACUAAAUUACAUUUGCUUUAAAAGUGGAAAGGAAUAAAUAAGUAUAGGAGAUGCGCGUGAAGAGUAAACGAGCAGAAAAAAUCUAACAGAAGGAAUCUUGGUGGAUAAACUCUCCUGCAACAUAGAGAAAUUCAUAAAAGUCUGAUGAUCAUAAACAUUGGACAAUAAAUGCAUAUCAGACAAAGCCCGACUUUAAGUUUAAAAGUGGAAAUAUAUUUAUUAUCUAUAAUGUGUUAAUGAAAAUGGGUUUGGAAACAGAUUGAAUCCAUUAGACAAGUUUUUACCCAAUUUCACAAAAAGAUAAUGUGAAUCCAUCAAUCAGUGAAUUAACCCUUUUUCAGCAUAAAGGGAUGAAACUUUUCCAAAUUCAAAAUACAGAUCUUAACAGCAAGUCUUCCUUUUUCAACAAAGCAUGAAGAACUAUACAUUAGACCAUAGAGAACGUCAAAAUCCUAAAUUAAUAACAUUAAAACUACAUUAUCUCUAUUCGCAUAUAAUCAAGAAACAAUUAUAAACCUUUAUGCCAAUCAUAUUCAAAUUAUAGAGUCAAUCACCAAAUGUUAAUCUUUUCUAAACAAAUCAGACGCAUUCAAUCCGAAAACCAGAAAAUAGAAACUUAAGAACCCAUAUAUAUAUCCAAAAAAAAUCAUGCAUUCCUAGAAUCAGCCAAAUCACAAAAAUGAUAAAACCAGUCUCCCAGCAACAAGUACCAUGGCCUGUACAUUCAAUUCGAAAGAUUCACUAAAACAUUUAUAAACCCAAUCUUUUUACUUUAAAACCAAGAAAAAGCAGACACUGAGCUUUUUAUGAAAUGCAAACCCAUAAACCAUUAUGUUUAUAACAAUAAAAAAAUAAUAAAUAAUAAAUAAUAAAUAAUAAAUAAUAAAUAAUCAAAUAUUUACCACAAAAUAUACCAUGUUUUGCAUAAAAAUUCAACGAUACGUACAUGUACAAUUGCUCGUGAAAAUAAUCUCAAACCUGUAUAAAUUUAAACUUCUUUUUACCUCAAAGAACAAAUCAAAACCACUGCGAGAAAGAGUAACUGAAAACCCAAGAUUUUGAGAAUGGCUUUGCAGUAUAAAGGGGUGACGGCGUGAAUAUUGAGUGAAUUUAUAUAAAGGGGUUUCAUGAGCAGAUUCUGUAAAUCGGGCAGAGAUUUUGGUUUCCCCAAUUGUUAAAUGCAUUUUUGGGAAUUUGGAGGGAAAAUUUUCCCUUUCUUUUAUCUUUGAUAUUCGUGGUUUUACAAGCGAAAAUAGCUGGCAGUGAAUCGUGGAGCCCAGUUUGGAGACGUGUAACGUUGAUGGCCCGGCCAUUUUGAGAGUUUUUGUUUAGAAAAGCGUGUAGACUUUGAAUGUCGAAAAAAGCCGAAGAUCCCGGGAUAAAAUCCCCACCUUGGCCCCCGAUGUAAAAGGCGCGGGCCCCGCAUGUGUGAAGAUCCAAGGUUGAGGUGUUGCCACCUAGACCUUGGAGCGAAACUCGAGAUUUUAUCUUGGGUUCUGAAGCAUCAUUCUUGAAUGUUUUGCUUCAUCUGCCAACAGAGCAAUCAAAGGCGAAGUUAAUAACUAUGAUAAAAAAUUUAAGUCUGCGGAUUAAAAUUAAAUUUUUAACAUAUUAUAAUAAAAAAUGAUAUGGUUUAAAAGUUGUGGAUUUCAUAACUGGUAAUUGGCACAAAACCUUUUUACCUUUUAAGUUUAUUGUGAAAAACGCUCGUACCUUUUAUUUUUUGAUAUCUUCCCCCCUACCUUUCGCCUUUCUUUGUUAUGAACGUCCUUUUUCACCACUUUUUAACAUAAAAUAACCAAUAUAUCCUUCGAGUGAAUUGUCCAAAUGAUCGCUGAACUUUGCAAAAGAUUUUCAAGGGAUCACUGAACUUUAAAAAUCACAUAAAUAGUCACUGAGUUUUGCAAAAGGCUUUUAUGAGAUCGCUGAACUUUAAAAAUCACAUAAAUGGUUACUGAAUUUUGAAAAAUAUUUCCCAAGGAUCACUGCUGGAAAAUCUUUUGGAAAAUUUAGUGACAUCAAGAAAACUUUUUGUAAAGUUCAAUGACCAUUUAGGUGAUUUUUAAAGUUCAAUGACCUUGUAAAAAUAUUUUGCAAAGUUCGGUGACCAUUUAAGUGAUUUUUAAAAUUCAGUGACCCCUUGAAAACUUUUUGCAAAGCUCAGUGACCAUUUGAAUAAUUCACUCUAUAUCCAAAGAAAAAAUAAAUUGCAAUUUUAGGCCAAACUUAGGGAGGAAAGGGUUGAAGCCCUCAUUUGUUACUGGUAAACAGAUGAAGGAUCAAGUUGAGAGGGUCAAUAGGGAAGUUGCUACUGGCCAAGAUUAUUUGCACUUUUUAAAAAAGGUGCCUCCUCUUCUCGAAGUUCUCUACAAAACAAACCAACAAGUCUAUAAAAAUACAAAGCAAAGAAAAUAUCAAAGUGACGCAAAGCGAUGAUUACUUAGGGGUUGUAAAAGUACCUCUCCAAACCAUCGGGUUGAAAAAAUCGUUUGGAAACGAUUAGCCUCUCAAAUUCCCUUGAAGAAGCCGGAUGCAAGUAGAUGUCCUUUAUAAGCUCAAGUUCUGAGGAACUGAGCUCAAAUCAAUCAACUCCUUCUAGAAAAAAGAAUACGGCAUCAAAAUCCACAUCAGUACAAUUACUCAAUAAAACAUAAGGUACUACACUUACUGGCUUCUAAGUAGGAAGUCAGAACUGUCACGUGGCAAUGGUGUUGCCUUAGCACACCUACCACUUCCCCCUUACCCAAAAUCACAUCUCCUUCCACCCUUUGAUGAAUGAGGGAAAGGUGGUGACAAAGGGAGUAUGUGACCCCCAAGGACAUAGGAAAUACCACAUUUUGGAAUCCUCUUUACCUAAGACCUAGGUUGAAGGAAGGUCUGAAAUAUGUGGAAGGGCAUGUCCUCGCAUAAUGAUAUCUCCUUCCAAAGAAAGUAAGACCCCAUGAGCUGAGCCAGGCGUUUGGAACGAACUGGUUAGGAGCCAAUUUGUGAAACCUAAGAACGGUUCUAAAGAAAAGGUGUAAUGGCAAUCUAAGUCCUGCCUUUAAAAGGAAUUCAUUAAUGGGUACACAUCCACCUCGGAUAACACGCAUGCUCAUCAAGUGAAAGGGCUAGGAGUUUUAUAUCAUAGGGUAUGUAAAUGAUUUGGGCUCCCAUUUCAGCAGCUACUUCACUAAGGUCCACUCUCUUUUCAAAAGUAAAAGAAGAAGCCAUUUGAGCUAUGAAAAUUAGAAAAUUUUAAAUACUUAGGAAAUCACAUGAAAAGAGCAAAAGAUUUCAAAGAGUCACAAUGUAGAAGGCUUAAUAGCCUAGAGAAAUUCGAAAAAAGAGAGCACAAGAACUCAAGAACACAACGCCAAGAU